AAGUUGUUGCGGUUAAAAAGCUCGUAGUUGGAUCUGUGUUUUAAGCUAUCGGUUCACCGUUUUGAUGGUGUUUAACUGAUAUGACUUAAAAUGUCCUGCCGGUUGACUCGUGUUUCUUCCUCGCGGGAGAAAUGCGAUUGUCAGUUCCAAUCCUGUCGCGGUGCUCUUCAUUGAGUGUCGAGGCGGGCCGGCACGUUUACCUUGAACAAAUUUGAGUGCUUAAAGCAGGCUUAUAUUGCCGGAAAACUGUGUGCAUGGAAUAAUAUAAUAGGACUUCAGUUCUAUUUUGUUGGUUUUCGGAGUUUGAAGUAAUGAUUAAUAGGAACUGACGGGGGCAUUAGUAUUGCGGCGCUAGAGGUGAAAUUCUUGGACCGUCGCAAGACUAACUAAAGCGAAAGCAUUUGCCAAGGAUGCUUCCAUUAAUCAAGAACGAAAGUUAGAGGUUCGAAGGCGAUCAGAUACCGCCCUAGUUCUAACCAUAAACGAUGCCAGCCAGCGAUUCGCCGUUGUUAAAAAUUGACUCGGCUAGCAGCUUCCGGGAAACCAUAAGCAUUUGGGUUCCGGGGGAAGUAUGGUUGCAAAGCUGAAACUUAAAGGAAUUGACGGAAAGGCACCACCAGGAGUGGAGCCUGCGGCUUAAUUUGACUCAACACGGGAAAUCUCACCAGGCCAGAACACCAGGUGGAUUGACAGAUUGAGAGCUCUUUCUUGAUUUGGUGGG
Molecule: ribosomal RNA, 721 nt
Filed under: Atrichadenotecnum quadripunctatum
Lineage: Eukaryota; Metazoa; Arthropoda; Insecta; Psocodea; Psocidae
Description: bacterial SSU rRNA
Rfam family: Eukaryotic small subunit ribosomal RNA
Source: RNAcentral